Molecule: long non-coding RNA, 255 nt
Filed under: Ananas comosus (pineapple)
Lineage: Eukaryota; Viridiplantae; Streptophyta; Magnoliopsida; Poales; Bromeliaceae
Description: long non-coding RNA (ACOM_LNC028050)
Source: RNAcentral
CCUACAGAUCGAGCGAGAGAGGGUGUGAGAGGGGGUUGCAGUUCGGAGGCGAGAGGGCGUGAGAGGGGUUGCCGGGUCGGAGGCGAGAGGGCGUGAGAGGGGGUGCCGGGUCGACGGGCCUGGAUAGGGGGAGCGAAGGAGCGAGGAGAGAGAGGCGAGGAAUGGAGGAAGGGGUUCGAGGAGUUGGGAGAUGGAGAGGAGAGAGAGAGAGAGAGAGAGAGAAAGAGAGUGCAGGAAAUGUUGAGAUCGAGGGUU